This 2322-nucleotide small RNA is filed under the name Pan troglodytes (chimpanzee). RNAcentral's name for it is "processed transcript". The record is from RNAcentral. Lineage: Eukaryota; Metazoa; Chordata; Mammalia; Primates; Hominidae.
GACUGCAGCCUCGCUCCGUGCCUUCUGCGCGCCUGGGAUCCCGGAGCCUGCCUAGGUUCUGUGCGCUCCCGCCCACGCCGGUGCCCGCCGCCCGCCUGCGCCCCAGGCAGGUCCCAGGCCUCCGGCUGCUCCCGGCCGAAGCCCCGAGUGCGAGAUCGAGCGUCCUGAGCGCCUGACCGCAGCCCUGGAUCGCCUGCGGCAGCGCGGCCUGGAACAGAGGUGUCUGCGGUUGUCAGCUCGCGAGGCCUCGGAAGAGGAGCUGGGCCUGGUGCACAGAGUACCUUUCACUGCGCGCGGCUGGCCGCAGGGGCUGGACUGCAGCUGGUGGACGCUGUGCUCACUGGAGCUGUGCAAAAUGGGCUUGCCCUGGUGAGGCCUCCCGGGCACCACAGCCAGAGGGCGGCUGCCAACGGGUUCUGCGUGUUCAACAACGUGGCCAUAGCAGCUGCACAUGCCAAGCAGAAACACGGGCUACACAGGAUCCUCGUCGUGGACUGGGAUGUGCACCAUGGCCAGGGGAUCCAGUAUCUCUUUGAGGAUGACCCCAGGGAGCUGUAGAGCUGUUGAGGGUCCUGACCUUUGACCUCUGGCUCUGGCUGGCUGUUGGCAGCGUCCUUUACUUCUCCUGGCACCGCUAUGAGCAUGGGCGCUUCUGGCCUUUCCUGCGUGAGUCAGAUGCAGACGCAGUGGGGCGGGGACAGGGCCUCGGCUUCACUGUCAACCUGCCCUGGAACCAGGUCGGGAUGGGAAACGCUGACUACGUGGCUGCCUUCCUGCACCUGCUGCUUCCACUGGCCUUUGAGGAUUUGACUCAGCCAUCGGGGACCCUGAGGUGAGGGCCUUGCCUUGCCAGGGAGGGCUUCUGGGGUCCUGGGGCCCAGGUCCCCCGUCACACAUGGCUCUGGUUCCAGGGGCAAAUGCAGGCCACGCCAGAGUGCUUCGCCCACCUCACACAGCUGCUGCAGGUGCUGGCCGGCGGCCGGGUCUGCGCCGUGCUGGAGGGCGGCUACCACCUGGAGUCACUGGCGGAGUCAGUGUGCAUGACAGUACAGACGCUGCUGGGUGACCCGGCCCCACCCCUGUCAGGGCCAAUGGUGCCAUGUCAGAGGUGCGAGGGGAGGUAGGGCGGGCAGGGCUGGGGUGUGAGACCAGGUGUCACGACUGUUGUGUCUCCCCCACAGUGCCCUAGAGUCCAUCCAGAGUGCCCGUGCUGCCCAGGCCCCGCACUGGAAGAGCCUCCAGCAGCAAGGUCAGUGUGGCCGGGUGCUAGGCUGCAGGAUCCCACCUCGGGCUCCCGUGCAGUGGCUAUGACUCCGAACUGUCCCUAGAUGUGACCGCUGUGCCGAUGAGCCCCAGCAGCCACUCCCCAGAGGGGAGGCCUCCACCUCUGCUGCCUGGGGGUCCAGUGUGUAAGGCAGCUGCAUCUGCACUGAGCUCCCUCCUGGACCAGCCGUGCCUCUGCCCCGCACCCUCUGUCCGCACCGCUGUUGCCCUGACAACGCCGGAUAUCACAUUGGUUCUGCCCCCUGACGUCAUCCAACAGGAAGCGUCAGCCCUGAGGGAGGAGACAGAAGCCUGGGCCAGGCCACACGAGUCCCUGGCCCGGGAGGAGGCCCUCACUGCACUUGGGAAGCUCCUGUACCUCUUAGAUGGGAUGCUGGAUGGGCAGGUGAACAGUGGUAUAGCAGCCACUCCAGCCUCUGCUGCAGCAGCCACCCUGGAUGUGGCUGUUCGGAGAGGCCUGUCCCACGGAGCCCAGAGGCUGCUGUGCGUGGCCCUGGGACAGCUGGACCGGCCUCCAGACCUCGCCCAUGACGGGAGGAGUCUGUGGCUGAACAUCAGGGGCAAGGAGGCGGCUGCCCUAUCCAUGUUCCAUGUCUCCACGCCACUGCCAGUGAUGACCGGUGGUUUCCUGAGCUGCGUCUUGGGCUUGGUGCUGCCCCUGGCCUAUGGCUUCCAGCCUGACCUGGUGCUGGUGGCGCUGGGGCCUGGCCAUGGCCUGCAGGGCCCCCACGCUGCACUCCUGGCUGCAAUGCUUCGGGGGCUGGCAGGGGGCCGAGUCCUGGCCCUCCUGGAGGAGGACUCCACACCCCAGCUAGCAGGGAUCCUGGCCCGGGUGCUGAAUGGAGAGGCACCUCCUAGCCUAGGCCCUUCCUCUGUGGCCUCCCCAGAGGACGUCCAGGCCCUGAUGUACCUGAGAGGGCAGCUGGAGCCUCAGUGGAAGAUGUUGCAGUGCCAUCCUCACCUGGUGGCUUGAAAUCGGCCAAGGUGGGAGCAUUUACACCGCAGAAAUGACACCGCACGCCAGCGCCCCGCGGCCGC